AGCGCCACCAUGCCAGAGAGAGCGGCAACUUCCCACAGGUUGCAAAUGAGUCCGCGUGAUGGGGACCUAUAGAAUAAACAGUGGCUGGAGGAUGAUACACCAAAGAAGGAAAGAAACAAGUGAACUCAAAUCAAAGAAUUCACAUCAGCUUUUUUGAAAGGGGAAAACCAAAAACGUCAAUUGCAAGCCUCAACCCCCUUCUUCUUCCCCAAACUGUUUUUCCUUUUGGUUUAUUUCUGCAUCAGAGUCUACCUAGGUUUCAAAACCAAUUUUCCAUUUUCCUAGAACCAGCCAAAUAUGGAGUGUGUGCAAAAACAUGGUAGCUUAAAAGAAGAAGAAGUAGACAAUUAUCAAAGGGAAGAGGGAGGAAGGAAAGAGAAGGGAAAUAAAGAGAGAUGACACAAGGGAACUGGACCAGAUAAAGACAAAGCAAUGCACUUAACCCACCUGGAGAGCACAUCGGACCAGCAAGGCGCUCUCAGCCAAUCGCCUGGGUCUGCGGCUGGGAGGAGAGUCCGCAUGGGUUCAUUUGGCUGAGGAGUGUGUUUCAUAAACCUUACGGUGCAGCUAUGAAAGCUAUCAGGAUCUUCCCACGUUUCCUGUCAUUCCGUGGAGAUUGGCUGCUGGAGUGCUUGGUUGGGGGGGCGGUGGGGAGUGGAGGUGGUAGGGGAAGAGGAUGCUUGGGUUGUUGAGGGGAGACUGGCUCUGGUGGGAAGUGGAAUCACACAGGAAUUUAUUUUAAGUGCAUAAACAAAAUGAAAUGAGGAAAAAAAGAAAAAAAACCAGUGUAUUCCUUUUGGGUCAUGUGAGAGAGCCACUGGCAAAGAUGAGGGGGCAAUGAGAAAGGAAGAGAGAAAAAGAGAGAGAGAGGCAAAAAGCUUUCUAUGAUUUGGGGCACUGGUGAAGCACACUGAGGCAGCUGGAAGAUUAAAUUAAGUAUCAUAUCUGCUGACCCUAUUGCCAUGGUUACCGGACAGCGGAAAAU
This 985-nucleotide long non-coding RNA is filed under the name Homo sapiens (human). Its description in RNAcentral is "HSALNT0386875". Lineage: Eukaryota; Metazoa; Chordata; Mammalia; Primates; Hominidae. The record is from RNAcentral.